CCCUUAGAUGUUCUGGGCCGCACGCGCGCUACACUGACUGCUCCAACAAGUUACCUGGGCUGACAAGCAUCCGGGAAAUCUUGCAAAGGUAGUCGUGAUGGGGAUAGAUUCUUGUAAUUUUUGAUCUUCAACGAGGAAUUCCUAGUAAACGCAAGUCAUCAGCUUGCAUUGAUUACGUCCCUGCCCUUUGUACACACCGCCCGUCGCAUCUACCGAUUGAAUGGAGAGGCAAAAUCUUCGGACCGUGACGCUUGGGAGUCAAAUCUCGGGCUGUCGUGGGAAGUGGAUUAAACCUUUCUAUUUAGAGGAAGGUAAAGUCGUAACA
This 325-nucleotide ribosomal RNA is filed under the name uncultured eukaryote. Its description in RNAcentral is "partial 18S ribosomal RNA". It matches the Rfam family "Eukaryotic small subunit ribosomal RNA", at positions 1470 to 1796 of the family's 1831-position model. The record is from RNAcentral.